UCAUGUCAGACAAUACAAAAAUAUUGGAUUUUUUAUUAUUGUUCAUUGAUCAAAAUAUAUAAUUUGAGAUUAAUGAUGGGAAAGUUCUUAAUUUCAUAACUGAUAUUAAAAACACUUCAAAUUCUUAAUUAACAUUUAAAAAAUAAAAGCACAGAAAAUUUUUUUAACUCCACUUAUAAACUUAAAGAAAAGCCUCCACA
This 200-nucleotide long non-coding RNA is filed under the name Gossypium raimondii (Peruvian cotton). RNAcentral describes it as "long non-coding RNA (GRAI_LNC010136)". The record is from RNAcentral. Lineage: Eukaryota; Viridiplantae; Streptophyta; Magnoliopsida; Malvales; Malvaceae.